Molecule: ribosomal RNA, 492 nt
Filed under: uncultured bacterium
Lineage: Bacteria
Description: partial 16S ribosomal RNA
Rfam family: Bacterial small subunit ribosomal RNA
Source: RNAcentral
AGUGAACGCUGGCGGUAGACCUAACACAUGCAAGUCGAACGGCAGCACAGUAAGAGCUUGCUCUUACGGGUGGCGAGUGGCGGACGGGUGAGGGAUACAUCGGAAUCUACUUUUUCGUGGGGGAUAACGUAGGGAAACUUACGCUAAUACCGCAUACGACCUACGGGUGAAAGCAGGGGAUCUUCGGACCUUGCGCGAUUGAAUGAGCCGAUGUCGGAUUAGCUAGUUGGCGGGGUAAAGGCCCACCAAGGCGACGAUCCGUAGCUGGUCUGAGAGGAUGAUCAGCCACACUGGAACUGAGACACGGUCCAGACUCCUACGGGAGGCAGCAGUGGGGAAUAUUGGACAAUGGGCGCAAGCCUGAUCCGGCCAUACCGCGUGGGUGAAGAAGGCCUUCGGGUUGUAAAGCCCUUUUGUUGGGAAAGAAAAGCAGCAGGUUAAUACCCCGCUGUUCUGACGGUACCCAAAGAAUAAGCACCGGCUAACUUCGUG